RNAcentral lists this ribosomal RNA (430 nucleotides) under Pseudomonadota bacterium. RNAcentral describes it as "Proteobacteria bacterium partial 16S ribosomal RNA". It matches the Rfam family "Bacterial small subunit ribosomal RNA", at positions 355 to 776 of the family's 1533-position model. Lineage: Bacteria; Pseudomonadati; Pseudomonadota. The record is from RNAcentral.
UGGGGAAUAUUGGACACUGGGGGGAACCCUGAUCCAGCCAUGCCGCGUGUGUGAAGAAGGCCUUAUGGUUGUAAAGCACUUUAAGCGAGGAGGAGGGUACUGGUAUUAAUACUACCAGCUACUGGACGUUACUCGCAGAAUAAGCACCGGCUAACUCUGUGCCAGCAGCCGCGGUAAUACAGAGGGUGCGAGCGUUAAUCGGAUUUACUGGGCGUAAAGCGUGCGUAGGCGGCUAAUUGAGUCGGAUGUGAAAUCCCCGAGCUUAACGUGGGAAUUGCAUUCGAUACUGGUUAGCUAGAGUGUGGGAGAGGAUGGUAGAAUUCCAGGUGUAGCGGUGAAAUGCGUAGAGAUCUGGAGGAAUACCGAUGGCGAAGGCAGCCAUCUGGCCUAACACUGACGCUGAGGUACGAAAGCAUGGGGAGCAAACAGG